This 268-nucleotide unclassified non-coding RNA is filed under the name Hevea brasiliensis (rubber tree). The record is from RNAcentral. Lineage: Eukaryota; Viridiplantae; Streptophyta; Magnoliopsida; Malpighiales; Euphorbiaceae.
CCGAGCAAGGUCGCUGCGGUAAGAAUUACGGUCAAAAGGCGCGUCAUUAGAAUCCUCAUAAGAGAUCGUCAGACUGGGCGAAAAUGUUGGCGAACCAAGAUCACAGGUGCCACGAACUCUGCGAGAAAGGCCACAAUUUGCCUGUUUUCGCAACCCACGGACGCGUGAAAGGCUUCGAGGUAGCCCAUUAUGUGCCUGAGGCGUGANUGCGAGACAUGCCCCAUCUGCACGGUCAUGCGGCCGUUCCAAUCUAUCGCAGGCUUUGACG